GUGCUCACUUUGAUAGCACAUAUACUAAAGUUAGAAUGAUACAGUGAUGAGCAUGGUCCCUGUGCAAGGAUAAUAUGCACAUUUGUGAAGCAGAAGUAAAUUAU
Callithrix jacchus (white-tufted-ear marmoset) is the source of this 104-nucleotide small nuclear RNA. The record is from Ensembl. Lineage: Eukaryota; Metazoa; Chordata; Mammalia; Primates; Cebidae.